RNAcentral lists this ribosomal RNA (374 nucleotides) under uncultured bacterium. RNAcentral describes it as "bacterial SSU rRNA". It matches the Rfam family "Bacterial small subunit ribosomal RNA", at positions 521 to 896 of the family's 1533-position model. The record is from RNAcentral.
UAAAACGUAGGGGGCAAGCGUUGCCCGGAUUCACUGGGCGUAAAGGGUGUGUAGGCGGACUGGAAAGUCCAAUGUGAAAGCCCUCGGCUCAACCGAGGAAUUGCAUUGGAUACUUCCAGCCUAGAGGACGGGAGAGGGGAGUGGAACUCCCGGUGUAGCGGUAGAAUGCGUGGAUAUCGGGAGGAACGCCAAUAGCGAAGGCAGCUCCCUGGAACGUUCCUGACGCUGAGACACGAAAGCUGGGGGAGCAAACAGGAUUAGAUACCCUGGUAGUCCCAGCCGCAAACGAUGUGCACUAGGUGUCCCUGAUUCUUUUGGGGGUACCGCAGCUAACGCGUUAAGUGCACCGCCUGGGGACUACGGCCGCAAGGCUA